GAAGCAGCCAUGCCGCGUGCAAUGAUGAAGGUCUUAGGAUUGUAAAAUUCUUUCACCGGGGACGAUAAUGACGGUACCCGGAGAAGAAGCCCCGGCUAACUUCGUGCCAGCAGCCGCGGUAAUACGAAGGGGGCUAGCGUUGCUCGGAAUUACUGGGCGUAAAGGGCGCGUAGGCGGAUCGUUAAGUCAGAGGUGAAAUCCCAGGGCUCAACCCUGGAACUGCCUUUGAUACUGGCGAUCUUGAGUGUGAGAGAGGUAUGUGGAACUCCGAGUGUAGAGGUGAAAUUCGUAGAUAUUCGGAAGAACACCAGUGGCGAAGGCGACAUACUGGCUCAUUACUGACGCUGAGGCGCGAAAGCGUGGGGAGCAAACAGGAUUAGAUACCCUGGUAGUCCACGCCGUAAACGAUGAUUGCUAGUUGUCGGGCUGCAUGCAGUUCGGUGACGCAGCUAACGCAUUAAGCAAUCCGCCUGGGGAGUACGGUCGCAAGAUUA
This 494-nucleotide ribosomal RNA is filed under the name uncultured bacterium. RNAcentral's name for it is "bacterial SSU rRNA". It matches the Rfam family "Bacterial small subunit ribosomal RNA", at positions 385 to 896 of the family's 1533-position model. The record is from RNAcentral.